AGUGAACGCUGGCGGUAGGCCUAACACAUGCAAGUCGAACGGCAGCACAGAGGAGCUUGCUCCUUGGGUGGCGAGUGGCGGACGGGUGAGGAAUACAUCGGAAUCUACUCUGUCGUGGGGGAUAACGUAGGGAAACUUACGCUAAUACCGCAUACGACCUACGGGUGAAAGCAGGGGAUCUUCGGACCUUGCGCGAUUGAAUGAGCCGAUGUCGGAUUAGCUAGUUGGAGGGGUAAAGGCCCACCAAGGCGACGAUCCGUAGCUGGUUUGAGAGGAUGAUCAGCCACACUGGAACUGAGACACGGUCCAGACUCCUACGGGAGGCAGCAGUAGGGAAUAUUGGACAAUGGGCGCAAGCCUGAUCCAGCCAUACCGCGUGGGUGAAGAAGGCCUUCGGGUUGUAAAGCCCUUUUGUUGGGAAAGAAAUCCAUCUGGUUAAUACCCGGGUGGGAUGACGGUACCCAAAGAAUAAGCACCGGCUAACUUCGUGCCAGCCGCCGCCGUAA
Molecule: ribosomal RNA, 506 nt
Filed under: uncultured bacterium
Lineage: Bacteria
Description: partial 16S ribosomal RNA
Rfam family: Bacterial small subunit ribosomal RNA
Source: RNAcentral